Molecule: ribosomal RNA, 118 nt
Filed under: Castor canadensis (American beaver)
Lineage: Eukaryota; Metazoa; Chordata; Mammalia; Rodentia; Castoridae
Source: RNAcentral
AUCUACAGCUAUAUCACCAUGAACACACCCGAUAUUGUUUGAUCUCAGAAGCUAAGAGGGGUCAGGCCUAGUUAGUACUUGAAUAGGAAACUUAUAAUCUUUUCUCCAGUUGAAAAUC